This 445-nucleotide ribosomal RNA is filed under the name uncultured bacterium. RNAcentral's name for it is "bacterial SSU rRNA". It matches the Rfam family "Bacterial small subunit ribosomal RNA", at positions 354 to 796 of the family's 1533-position model. The record is from RNAcentral.
GUGAGGAAUAUUGGUCAAUGGAGGCAACUCUGAACCAGCCAUGCCGCGUGCAGGAUGACGGUCCUAUGGAUUGUAAACUGCUUUUGUACAGGAAGAAACAUUACUACGUGUAGUAACUUGACGGUACUGUAAGAAUAAGGAUCGGCUAACUCCGUGCCAGCAGCCGCGGUAAUACGGAGGAUCCGAGCGUUAUCCGGAAUUAUUGGGUUUAAAGGGUUCGUAGGCGGUUAGAUAAGUCAGUGGUGAAAUUUCCUAGCUUAACUAGGGCACUGCCAUUGAUACUGUUUAACUUGAAUAGUAUGGAAGUAACUAGAAUAUGUAGUGUAGCGGUGAAAUGCUUAGAUAUUACAUGGAAUACCAAUUGCGAAGGCAGGUUACUACGUACUUAUUGACGCUGAUGAACGAAAGCGUGGGGAGCGAACAGGAUUAGAUACCCGAGUAGUCC